GUGGAUUAGAUACCCUGGUAGUCCACGCCGUAAACGUUGGGCACUAGGUGUGGGUCUCAACCAACGGGAUCUGUGCCGUAGCUAACGCAUUAAGUGCCCCGCCUGGGGAGUACGGCCGCAAGGCUAAAACUCAAAGGAAUUGACGGGGGCCCGCACAAGCGGCGGAGCAUGUUGCUUAAUUCGAGGCAACGCGAAGAACCUUACCUGGGUUUGACAUGUAGGGAAAAGCCGUAGAGAUACGGUGUCCUUCGGGGCCCUACACAGGUGGUGCACGGUUGUCGUCAGCU
RNAcentral lists this ribosomal RNA (287 nucleotides) under uncultured bacterium. RNAcentral's name for it is "partial 16S ribosomal RNA". It matches the Rfam family "Bacterial small subunit ribosomal RNA", at positions 773 to 1060 of the family's 1533-position model. The record is from RNAcentral.